Molecule: non-coding RNA, 85 nt
Organism: Felis catus (domestic cat)
Lineage: Eukaryota; Metazoa; Chordata; Mammalia; Carnivora; Felidae
Source: Rfam
GCCUGGGUGGCUCAGUCGGUUAAGCGUCUGACUUGGGCUCAGGUCAUGAUCUCACGGUUUGUGAGUUCGAGACCCGCAUCGGGCU